This 988-nucleotide ribosomal RNA is filed under the name Levilactobacillus brevis. Its description in RNAcentral is "bacterial SSU rRNA". It matches the Rfam family "Bacterial small subunit ribosomal RNA", at positions 55 to 1007 of the family's 1533-position model. Lineage: Bacteria; Bacillati; Bacillota; Bacilli; Lactobacillales; Lactobacillaceae. The record is from RNAcentral.
AUGCAAGUCGAACGAGCUUCCGUUGAAUGACGUGCUUGCACUGAUUUCAACAAUGAAGCGAGUGGCGAACUGGUGAGUAACACGUGGGAAAUCUGCCCAGAAGCAGGGGAUAACACUUGGAAACAGGUGCUAAUACCGUAUAACAACAAAAUCCGCAUGGAUUUUGUUUGAAAGGUGGCUUCGGCUAUCAGUUCUGGAUGAUCCCGCGGCGUAUUAGUUAGUUGGUGAGGUAAAGGCCCACCAAGACGAUGAUACGUAGCCGACCUGAGAGGGUAAUCGGCCACAUUGGGACUGAGACACGGCCCAAACUCCUACGGGAGGCAGCAGUAGGGAAUCUUCCACAAUGGACGAAAGUCUGAUGGAGCAAUGCCGCGUGAGUGAAGAAGGGUUUCGGCUCGUAAAACUCUGUUGUUAAAGAAGAACACCUUUGAGAGUAACUGUUCAAGGGUUGACGGUAUUUAACCAGAAAGCCACGGCUAACUACGUGCCAGCAGCCGCGGUAAUACGUAGGUGGCAAGCGUUGUCCGGAUUUAUUGGGCGUAAAGCGAGCGCAGGCGGUUUUUUAAGUCUGAUGUGAAAGCCUUCGGCUUAACCGGAGAAGUGCAUCGGAAACUGGGAGACUUGAGUGCAGAAGAGGACAGUGGAACUCCAUGUGUAGCGGUGGAAUGCGUAGAUAUAUGGAAGAACACCAGUGGCGAAGGCGGCUGUCUAGUCUGUAACUGACGCUGAGGCUCGAAAGCAUGGGUAGCGAACAGGAUUAGAUACCCUGGUAGUCCAUGCCGUAAACGAUGAGUGCUAAGUGUUGGAGGGUUUCCGCCCUUCAGUGCUGCAGCUAACGCAUUAAGCACUCCGCCUGGGGAGUACGACCGCAAGGUUGAAACUCAAAGGAAUUGACGGGGGCCCGCACAAGCGGGGGAGCAUGUGGUUUAAUUCGAAGCUACGCGAAGAACCUUACCAGGUCUUGACAUCUUCUGCCAAUCUUAAAGAU